RNAcentral lists this ribosomal RNA (433 nucleotides) under uncultured bacterium. RNAcentral's name for it is "partial 16S ribosomal RNA". It matches the Rfam family "Bacterial small subunit ribosomal RNA", at positions 29 to 507 of the family's 1533-position model. The record is from RNAcentral.
AACGAACGCUGGCGGCAUGCCUAACACAUGCAAGUCGAACGAGACCUUCGGGUCUAGUGGCGCCCGGGUGCGUAACGCGUGGGAACCUGCCCUUAGGUUCGGAAUAACUCCCCGAAAGGGGUGCUAAUACCGGAUAAUGUCUUCGGACCAAAGAUUUAUCGCCUUUGGAUGGGCCCGCGUUGGAUUAGCUAGUUGGUAGGGUAAAAGCCUACCAAGGCGACGAUCCAUAGCUGGUCUGAGAGGAUGAUCAGCCACACUGGGACUGAGACACGGCCCAGACUCCUACGGGAAGCAGCAGUGGGGAAUAUUGGACAAUGGGCGAAAGCCUGAUCCAGCAAUGCCGCGUGAGUGAUGAAGGCCUUAGGGUUGUAAAGCUCUUUUACCCGGGAUGAUAAUGACAGUACCGGGAGAAUAAGCCCCGGCUAACUCCGUG